GGAUGUGAGGGCAAUCUAGCUGCAACAUUUGUCACCCCAUUGAUCGCCAGGGUUGAUUCAUCUGAUCUGGCGGGCUAAGUGGGUGUCCCCUUCCUCCCUCAAAGCUCCCUCCUGAUGCUGUCCCUCCUGAUGCUGCGUGCUUGGUCAAAGAGGAUGACCACCCCCAAUAGAGGAGGACCAUUCCUAGCUCUAGGGUAUAUGACUAGCUGUGCCCCCUGCUAGAACCUCCAAACAAGCUCUUAAGAAUGACCCCAGGAAUUAAACUAAAAUAAAAGAAGAGAAAAUGAGAAGACAGUU
Molecule: small nuclear RNA, 297 nt
Filed under: Chinchilla lanigera (long-tailed chinchilla)
Lineage: Eukaryota; Metazoa; Chordata; Mammalia; Rodentia; Chinchillidae
Description: 7SK RNA (ENSCLAG00000022111.1)
Rfam family: 7SK RNA
About the family: 7SK was discovered as an abundant small nuclear RNA in the mid-70s but a possible function has only recently been suggested.
Source: RNAcentral